CAUUACCGAACUGUCGACAGGAGUUGUUGCUGGCCCUCGAAAGGGGGCAUGUGCACGCUCUGUUUGCACAUCCACUCACACCUGUGCACCCUCUGUAGCUCUGUGGCAGUGGGACUCUGUCCCGCUGCUGUGGUCCUACGCCUUUACACACAACGUAAUAAAGUCUCAUGGAAUGUAUGCCGCGUUUAACGCAAUACAAUACAACUUUCAGCAACGGAUCUCUUGGCUCUCGCAUCGAUGAAGAACGCAGCGAAAUGCGAUAAGUAAUGUGAAUUGCAGAAUUCAGUGAAUCAUCGAAUCUUUGAACGCACCUUGCGCCCUUUGGCUAUUCCGAAGGGCAUGCCUGUUUGAGUAUCAUGAACACCUCAACUCUCAUGGUCUGCCGUGAUGAGCUUGGACUUUGGGGGUCUUGCCGGCCCAGCGUCGGCUCCUCUCAAAUGAAUCAGCUUGCCAGUGUAUGGUGGCGUCACAGGUGUGAUAACUAUCUACGCAUGCGUUCCCCGCCGUGUAACCUUCAGCGAUGGAGGUUCGCUGGAGCUCAUAGACGUCUCUCCUCAGCGAGGACAGCUAUUUGAACGUUUGAUCUCAAAUCAGGUAGGACUACCCGCUGAACUUAA
This 617-nucleotide ribosomal RNA is filed under the name uncultured Thelephoraceae. RNAcentral's name for it is "eukaryotic LSU rRNA". The stretch from base 203 to 357 matches the Rfam family "5.8S ribosomal RNA". The record is from RNAcentral. Lineage: Eukaryota; Fungi; Basidiomycota; Agaricomycetes; Thelephorales; Thelephoraceae.